AUGAGCACUCCACCCUCGGCAUAUGCCUUCCCCGGCCUCCUCCUCCUCCUCCUCGGCGGAGCGGUCAUCGUCUCCGCCGAGAAUAACAAAGACUGCCACCCAAGCGAUAAGGCCGCGCUUCUCGUUGUCAAGUCUGCCUUCGGCAACCAGAGCCACUUUGCCUCGUGGACUCCUUCCACCCCGUGCUGCGAACGGCACGACGCCACUUGCAACGACGCCGGUCGCGUCAUCUCCCUCCUCUUCUUCGUGGAUUUCACCCUUACGGGCACCAUCCCGAACGCCAUGUCCGGCCUCGUCGAGCUUCUCGUCCUCAACCUCUAUUACCUCCCGGCCAUCUCCGGCCAUAUCCCCAAGGGAAUCGCCAAGCUAUCCAAACUCACCUCGCUCGGCAUCUCUCUCACCUCCGUUUCGGGCCCCGUUCCGUCCUUCCUGGGCGCACUGACCAAGCUCGGAGUGAUAGAUCCUAUGGAUCGUGGUAGGCUAGAUAUUUCCGGUAACCUACCUUCCUUGGGUGCGGAUGAGCUCGAUCCAGAGCCGGCCAUGGUGAUGUAG
RNAcentral lists this ribosomal RNA (552 nucleotides) under Triticum aestivum (bread wheat). RNAcentral's name for it is "partial small subunit ribosomal RNA". The record is from RNAcentral. Lineage: Eukaryota; Viridiplantae; Streptophyta; Magnoliopsida; Poales; Poaceae.